Long non-coding RNA from Acanthisitta chloris (rifleman), 651 nucleotides. RefSeq lists it as uncharacterized. The transcript is spliced from 4 exons. Lineage: Eukaryota; Metazoa; Chordata; Aves; Passeriformes; Acanthisittidae. The record is from RefSeq and is a predicted model, not a curated record.
AUGUCAAAGGAACAGUACCAGCAGCAACAGCAGUGGGGGAGUCGGGGAGGAUUUGUUGGAAGAGCUCGAGGAAGAGGUGGAGGCCCCAGUCAAAACUGGAACCAGGGAUACAGCAACUACUGGAAUCAGGGGUAUGGGAACUAUGGCUACAACAGCCAAGGGUAUGGAGGUUACGGAGGAUACGACUACACUGGUUACAACAACUACUAUGGAUACGGUGACUAUAGCAAUCAGCAGAGUGGUUAUGGGAAAGUAUCUCGGCGAGGUGGUCAUCAAAAUAGCUACAAACCAUACUAAAUUAUUCCAUUUGCAACUUACCCCAACCAGGUGGAGACGCAGUAUUUUCUCAUUUGAAGAUUCAUUUGAGGUGGCACAUGCUACCUGCUAAUAGCAGUUGAAACUAAUUUUUGUAUGAAGUCCAUGAAUUGGAAGUAAGACUUUGGGUCCCUCUGAAGUUUAAUUGAGUUUUCAUUAAGACAGAAGUUGCUUUCGAGGUCUUAUUUCUUAAUUGCUUAUGCUUAAGAAUCAGUUUGGUUUAUGCCCCUCCCUCAGUAUUGUAGCGCAAGUCUUGUGUUCCAAAGCCCAGUGUGACAGUGUCAUGAUGUAGUAGUGUCUUACUGGUUUUUUAAUAAAUCUUUUUGUAUAAAGGUG